RNAcentral lists this non-coding RNA (30 nucleotides) under Mus musculus (house mouse). Lineage: Eukaryota; Metazoa; Chordata; Mammalia; Rodentia; Muridae. The record is from RNAcentral.
ACAACGGUCACAGAUACCUGGAUGGAGGUC